UUUAUACUGGGAGGGGUUUUGGGGUUACUGGGAUGGAGUUUUGGGCUUACUGGUCCAUACUGGUUUAUUCUGGUCUAUACUGGUUUAUACUGGUUUAUACUGGUUUGGGGCUACUGGGGCCUUACUGGGAUGAACUGGGAUGAACUGGGAUGAACUGGUUUAUACUGGUUUGGCAUUUUAGCGACAACUGGGGGCAGCACCACCAUUAACUCAAUGAACUGGGAUCAUACUGGUUCCUUACUGGUUUAUACUGGUUUAUACUGGUUUA
Molecule: long non-coding RNA, 268 nt
Filed under: Taeniopygia guttata (zebra finch)
Lineage: Eukaryota; Metazoa; Chordata; Aves; Passeriformes; Estrildidae
Description: lncRNA (ENSTGUG00000020555.1)
Source: RNAcentral